This 496-nucleotide ribosomal RNA is filed under the name uncultured bacterium. RNAcentral describes it as "partial 16S ribosomal RNA". It matches the Rfam family "Bacterial small subunit ribosomal RNA", at positions 28 to 507 of the family's 1533-position model. The record is from RNAcentral.
GAUGAACGCCGGCGGCGUGCCUAAUACAUGCAAGUCGAACGCUCAAGGAAGGAGCUUGCUCUUUCCGGAUGAGUUGCGAACGGGUGAGUAACGCGUAGGUAACCUGCCUGGUAGCGGGGGAUAACUAUUGGAAACGAUAGCUAAUACCGCAUAACAGUAUAUGUUGCAUGAUAUCUACUUAAAAGGCGCAAUUGCACCACUACCAGAUGGACCUCCGUUGUAUUAGCUAGUUGGUAAGGUAACGGCCCACCAAGGCAACCAUAAAUGGCCGACCGUAAAGGUGGUUGGCCACACCGGGACUGGAGAACGGCCCAGAACCCUUCGGGGGGGAGGAGUAGGGGAUCUUCGGCAAUGGACGGAAGGCUGACCGGACAACGCCGGGGGAGGGGAGGAGGGUUUCCGGUCGGAAAGCUCUGUUUAAAGGGGAGAAAGAGUGGGAGAGUGAAAAGUGCACACUGUGACGGUAUCUAACCAGAAAGGGACGGCUAACUACGUG